Molecule: long non-coding RNA, 1400 nt
Organism: Syngnathus typhle (broad-nosed pipefish)
Lineage: Eukaryota; Metazoa; Chordata; Actinopteri; Syngnathiformes; Syngnathidae
Exons: 2
Source: RefSeq, a predicted model, not a curated record
CCGACUUCCCACUUUACUCGAAUGCAGCUUACAUAUUAGGUAUAGGUGAGCUAAGUUCCUUUCACUAUAACAAAAUAACUGAGCAAUUUAACAGUCACGGUACUUGUGACUACAUGCAGGCUCACUGAUGAAUGGAGUUGAAUGUAGGAGCUGCAUGCUCCUGUAUGACACCUGGUUCAUCGGUGUUAUUCAGGCAAUCAGUAAUUACAGUUAGUGUCAAAACAUCUUCACCUAGUAAUUUAUCAAUAUGCACUUGAAAAUUUGGAGUAGCACUUCAGAUGAACGCCUUUUAUUUUUUUUCUCUCUAGGAAAUGACCGCUGGAGACUAAUUAAAAAAAAAACAAGCAUUAUUGUGGGGUAGCUGGAAUUCCAGAGGUGGGAACUUAACCAAAUUUUGUCACGACCUGGGCAUCCUUCCGUAUAAUGGUCCCCAUAUCCCCAUCUAUCCUUGAAAAGUCCUCCCACCACCGAUUCCGUCCCCCGUCCAUCAUCCCUCUGUUUAAUCAAAAAAAAAUUCAACAGAUGAAGACAAAUUUCAAAAGUCAUGUUAGUGUGCCGAAACGAUCUGUCGGACGGACUGAGAGUUUAGGCAACACUUGACCCAGAUAGAGAUGGAAGAAAACCCACUUACAUCACUCCAUAAUUCGUCCUUUUUUUUUUUUUUUACUUCCUCAUACCUCGUCCUUCUUCAGCAUGCGUGGCCGUACGGGACAGACACUGUUCUUUCCCUCUGUGGAAUUCUACCUUUCAAGUCUUUCUCAAUAGGUAAAGAUGCUCCAACAAUUAGAUCAUCUAUUUUAUUUGCUGCAAGUCAAAACUGCCAGAAUGAAAAGCUUAUUGAUGGCUCAUGUUUCACUGAGAGCAUCCUGCUUGUAUUAUUCAGCAUUCGAUCUCAUUCUAGAUGUGUUUGAGAUAUGUCAUCAGUGUCUCUUGGCUUUAUAAAAUGUGAUGGUAGACAUCCACAUUUGUUCUCACGAUGUAUAAUGAUUUGGUCUAACACUAAUCUGUUUCAUGUUUGAAGUUGUAUGAAUUAUUUUCUUUCCCCGAACUCGGUUCUUCUCAUGCUGUUAUUUUGCUGCUCGCAUGGCCUUUGGCUUCAUAUCACUAUUCUCGUGCCUUGUUUAACUACUGUAUAUGGUGAAUGUUGUAAAGUACAGAUGGGGAUGAGAAAAAUAAUCACACUGAUAAACAUUUAAAAGUCUCAGUCAAAACAUAUUUAAAUUAUAAUAUUGAAUAGGCUACAGAGCUUUUCUAGUGCUGAACAUCUAAGGUUUGGUAAUGCCUGGGCAACUUUGUGUUAUAUUGGAUCUAUCAUUAUGGACAUUUUGGAUGUUUUCUGUACAGUAGAAUUUGCAAAUGUAUAUGCAGCCUUUUGGAAAUAAAUGUACAGUUGAAAGUGA